UACGUAGGGUGCGAGCGUUGUCCGGAAUCACUGGGCUUAAAGCGUGUGUAGGCGGAGCAUUAAGUACCUUGUGAAAUCCCACGGCUUAACCGUGGAACUGCUGGGUAUACUGGUGUUCUUGAGCCACUUAGGGGCGAGCGGAACAAAUGGUGGAGCGGUGAAAUGCGUAGAUAUCAUUUGGAACGCCAAUGGUGAAAACAGCUCGCUGGGAGUGUGCUGACGCUGAGACACGAAAGCCAGGGUAGCGAACGGG
Molecule: ribosomal RNA, 253 nt
Filed under: uncultured bacterium
Lineage: Bacteria
Description: partial 16S ribosomal RNA
Rfam family: Bacterial small subunit ribosomal RNA
Source: RNAcentral